AAGCAUCCCGGCAUGCAAUAUAUAAAAGCUGCAUAGCAAUCUCUCUCUAUGUAUUUAAAGAAUGAGAGAGAAAUAAGAACAAUGAAAAUUCUAAAGAAAAACUUUAGAAGAAGGGUGUCUUCACUUAAAAGGAUGAAUCAUAUUCUAAGAGAACAUAUUACAUUAACUAAAAUAUAAUAAAAUACUGAAGCUUUAGAAAUGCCAAUUUU
This 209-nucleotide unclassified non-coding RNA is filed under the name Hevea brasiliensis (rubber tree). Lineage: Eukaryota; Viridiplantae; Streptophyta; Magnoliopsida; Malpighiales; Euphorbiaceae. The record is from RNAcentral.